AGAGUUUGAUCCUGGCUCAGGAUGAACGCUGGCGGCGUGCCUAAUACAUGCAAGUCGAGCGAACGGACGAGAAGCUUGCUUCUCUGAUGUUAGCGGCGGACGGGUGAGUAACACGUGGAUAACCUACCUAUAAGACUGGGAUAACUUCGGGAAACCGGAGCUAAUACCGGAUAAUAUUUUGAACCGCAUGGUUCAAAAGUGAAAGACGGUCUUGCUGUCACUUAUAGAUGGAUCCGCGCUGCAUUAGCUAGUUGGUAAGGUAACGGCUUACCAAGGCAACGAUGCAUAGCCGACCUGAGAGGGUGAUCGGCCACACUGGAACUGAGACACGGUCCAGACUCCUACGGGAGGCAGCAGUAGGGAAUCUUCCGCAAUGGGCGAAAGCCUGACGGAGCAACGCCGCGUGAGUGAUGAAGGUCUUCGGAUCGUAAAACUUUGUUAUUAGGGAAGAACAUAUGUGUAAGUAACUGUGCACAUCUUGACGGUACCUAAUCAGAAAGCCACGGCUAACUACGUGCCAGCAGCCGCGGUAAUACGUAGGUGGCAAGCGUUAUCCGGAAUUAUUGGGCGUAAAGCGCGCGUAGGCGGUUUUUUAAGUCUGAUGUGAAAGCCCACGGCUCAACCGUGGAGGGUCAUUGGAAACUGGAAAACUUGAGUGCAGAAGAGGAAAGUGGAAUUCCAUGUGUAGCGGUGAAAUGCGCAGAGAUAUGGAGGAACACCAGUGGCGAAGGCGACUUUCUGGUCUGUAACUGACGCUGAUGUGCGAAAGCGUGGGGAUCAAACAGGAUUAGAUACCCUGGUAGUCCACGCCGUAAACGAUGAGUGCUAAGUGUUAGGGGGUUUCCGCCCCUUAGUGCUGCAGCUAACGCAUUAAGCACUCCGCCUGGGGAGUACGACCGCAAGGUUGAAACUCAAAGGAAUUGACGGGGACCCGCACAAGCGGUGGAGCAUGUGGUUUAAUUCGAAGCAACGCGAAGAACCUUACCAAAUCUUGACAUCCUUUGACAACUCUAGAGAUAGAGCCUUCCCCUUCGGGGGACAAAGUGACAGGUGGUGCAUGGUUGUCGUCAGCUCGUGUCGUGAGAUGUUGGGUUAAGUCCCGCAACGAGCGCAACCCUUAAGCUUAGUUGCCAUCAUUAAGUUGGGCACUCUAAGUUGACUGCCGGUGACAAACCGGAGGAAGGUGGGGAUGACGUCAAAUCAUCAUGCCCCUUAUGAUUUGGGCUACACACGUGCUACAAUGGACAAUACAAAGGGCAGCGAAACCGCGAGGUCAAGCAAAUCCCAUAAAGUUGUUCUCAGUUCGGAUUGUAGUCUGCAACUCGACUACAUGAAGCUGGAAUCGCUAGUAAUCGUAGAUCAGCAUGCUACGGUGAAUACGUUCCCGGGUCUUGUACACACCGCCCGUCACACCACGAGAGUUUGUAACACCCGAAGCCGGUGGAGUAACCUUUUAGGAGCUAGCCGUCGAAGGUGGGACAAAUGAUUGGGGUGAAGUCGUAACAAGGUAGCCGUAUCGGAAGGUGCGGCUGGAUCACCU
This 1540-nucleotide ribosomal RNA is filed under the name Staphylococcus aureus S29036. Its description in RNAcentral is "16S ribosomal RNA". It matches the Rfam family "Bacterial small subunit ribosomal RNA". Lineage: Bacteria; Bacillati; Bacillota; Bacilli; Caryophanales; Staphylococcaceae. The record is from RNAcentral.